This 927-nucleotide ribosomal RNA is filed under the name Frankia sp. RNAcentral's name for it is "bacterial SSU rRNA". It matches the Rfam family "Bacterial small subunit ribosomal RNA", at positions 123 to 1065 of the family's 1533-position model. Lineage: Bacteria; Bacillati; Actinomycetota; Actinomycetes; Frankiales; Frankiaceae. The record is from RNAcentral.
AACCUGCCCCGAGCUCUGGAAUAACCUCGGGAAACCGGGGCUAGUGCCGGAUAUGACACUGCCGGGCAUCUGGUGGUGUGGAAAGAUUUAUCGGCUCGGGAUGGGCCCGCGGGCUAUCAGCUUGUUGGUGGGGUGAUGGCCUACCAAGGCGACGACGGGUAGCCGGCCUGAGAGGGCGACCGGCCACACUGGGACUGAGACACGGGCCAGACUCCUACGGGAGGCAGCAGUGGGGAAUAUUGCGCAAUGGGCGAAAGCCUGACGCAGCGACGCCGCGUGAGGGAUGACGGCCUUCGGGUUGUAAACCUCUUUCAGCAGAGACGAAGCGCAAGUGACGGUACCUGCAGAAGAAGCACCGGCCAACUACGUGCCAGCAGCCGCGGUAAUACGUAGGGUGCAAGCGUUGUCCGGAAUUAUUGGGCGUAAAGAGCUCGUAGGCGGCCUGUCGCGUCGGCUGUGAAAACCCGGGGCUCAACCCCGGGCCUGCAGUCGAUACGGGCAGGCUAGAGUCCGGCAGGGGAGACUGGAAUUCCUGGUGUAGCGGUGAAAUGCGCAGAUAUCAGGAGGAACACCGGUGGCGAAGGCGGGUCUCUGGGCCGGAACUGACGCUAAGGAGCGAAAGCGUGGGGAGCGAACAGGAUUAGAUACCCUGGUAGUCCACGCCGUAAACGUUGGGCGCCAGGUGUGGGGGACCUUCCACGGCCUCCGUUCCGCAGCUAACGCAUUAAGCGCCCCGCCUGGGGAGUACGGCCGCAAGGCUAAAACUCAAAGGAAUUGACGGGGGCCCGCACAAGCGGCGGAGCAUGUGGCUUAAUUCGAUGCAACGCGAAGAACCUUACCAGGGCUUGACAUGCAGGGAAAUCUCGUAGAGAUACGGGGUCCGUAAGGGUCCUGCACAGGUGGUGCAUGGCUGUCGUCAGCUCGUGU